RNAcentral lists this transfer RNA (73 nucleotides) under bacterium. RNAcentral's name for it is "tRNA-Arg". It matches the Rfam family "tRNA". Rfam says of the family: Transfer RNA (tRNA) molecules are approximately 80 nucleotides in length. Their secondary structure includes four short double-helical elements and three loops (D, anti-codon, and T loops). RNAcentral also lists the same sequence under 1 other name. The record is from RNAcentral.
GCGCCCGUAGCUCAAUGGAUAGAGUACAUGUCUUCGGAACAUGGGGUUGCAGGUUCGAAUCCUGCCGGGCGCG